AAAGACUCAAUUUCUGGGUUUCCGUGUCUAAUGUUUAACCAUCCGUCUUAUUUGAAAAAAUUAUGAAAAAAUUUAAAAAUAUAAGUCACACAUAAAAUAUUAAUCAUGUUUUAUCAUCUAACAACAACGAAAAUACUAAUCAUAAAAAAAAUUCAUAUAAGACGGAUAGUCAAACGUUGAACAUAAAAAGACUGAGU
RNAcentral lists this microRNA precursor (197 nucleotides) under Oryza sativa Japonica Group (Japanese rice). Its description in RNAcentral is "MIR812 microRNA precursor family". It matches the Rfam family "MIR812 microRNA precursor family". Lineage: Eukaryota; Viridiplantae; Streptophyta; Magnoliopsida; Poales; Poaceae. The record is from Rfam by way of RNAcentral.